Triticum aestivum (bread wheat) is the source of this 2396-nucleotide long non-coding RNA. RefSeq lists it as uncharacterized. The record is from RefSeq and is a predicted model, not a curated record. NCBI's taxonomy places the organism in Eukaryota, Viridiplantae, Streptophyta, Magnoliopsida, Poales, Poaceae. The transcript has 8 exons.
CUCCUGUGUACGUAUCAGACAGAUGGGCCCUGGUGAACCGAAAUUUGCACGGCGACGACGGAUGGAGGCCGAGCCGUGGCCCGAGACGUCACCGGCGUCCUGACCCGUGGAUCAGAAUCGGCGCCUUCCGGUAGCGCCGGCAGUGCACGCAGUAAUUGCUUGUAGGUAGGAAACUGGUAGGUGAGGAAGUGUCUUUGGACUUCGCAUUCUUCCCAGGCGGCGAGGUGCUGCGGAGAUCUACUACGACGAAGGCGAUUGGGCGCUCCAGCGAGGUCCGAGGCCAUGGAGUUCUUGAUGCAGCCGAUAAACAGAACGCUACUGGUGGAGGUGAACGAUAAUGACAUCACGAUGGGUGCUGUGCGUGUCCCGCUGGAUGCGCCAGCAUAUGUUGAGCUUGCAGCGCCGGCUGCUUCGAGUGCGGAUGGCCAGAUCUGGCGUGAGGAGGGCGGUGCAGAGGCUGGAAGUGCAGAUAAGGCUCAGUGUUCGGAGCACUCCAUAGAACAAUUGGACCCAAAAACACCAGGUUGGACACAAAGAGUGCAUGUAGGUGCUGCUGCUCUGGGCAGGGCUCCUUGCGCGGACAGGGUGACAGUCCUGGAGAAGACAAUCCGGGAAUUUGCAGAGCAACCUGGAGACAUUGUCAUUGUGCCAAGAUAGGAACAAGUUUCGACACACUUGGUGAGGCCUAUAACUUUUACAACUUGUACUCUUGGGAGAAAGGAUUUGGAAUUAGAUAUGGAAAGAGCAGAAUGAAUGUCAACUGGACAAAGUGUAUGCAAGAGAUAGUAUGUGGAUCCGCGGUAUGACAGGGGAAACCAAUUGUUGAAAAUACACGUUCAUGUCGAUGUGAAUGCCCAGCUCUCAUGAGAUUGUUGCGGAAGUAUAUGAGCUUAAUCUUUGACAGGAAGGCAGCUAAUGCGAGCAAAUAUGGCAACGGAGAGACAUGCCGGCAAGAUAUAUACUAGAGCUAUGUUUGAACAGUUAGGGCAUAUACUUUUAUGAGCGUGGUGCAUAUCAAGUGGAGGAGAUCGAAAAGGGUAAAAGGUAUGUUGCAAUACAUACUGAUACAACUCGGAGGGAGAGGUCGUGCAGAACUUCUCACAAGGUGACGGUGAUUGAAGGAGGGGAAGAAUGUGACUGUGAGUGUGGACAAUUUGCACACAUGGGGCUGUUGUGCAGCCACAUCCUGAAGGUGCUAGACUUCAUCCGUGUGACCGAAAUCCCAAAGAAACGUAUUGUGAAGAGGUGGACUAGAGAUGCGAGAGAUAUCCUUCCAGCACACCUUAUGCGGUACCAGAAGGACAAUGCUUAAGAAAACCCAUUCAAUUUCCGUCAUUUCAACAUGUAUAUGCAAGCUAUGGAGCUUGUGCGGAUGCGGGGUUGUAAUGUCGCAGUAUAUGAACAUUUGAUUUCAUUGUUCAAGCAUUGUGCAGCUGAAAUGAAGCCAUUCGCUGAUGUCCGAGAUGGAUUAGGACUGGAAGACAGGUUAGCAGACAAUAUGAAAGUGCCAAAUAGGGUACAAUCACAAGGAGAUGUAUACCCAGAGGUAGAUGGUACACAUAUUACAAAUGGUGGCGGUGACAGCAAUUCAGCAAAUGAGUUUGCUGCCAGCUAAACGGAAGCAACUCGAUAGACCUACAACAAGUAGGGAGAAAGCACCAUAUGAAGGUUUGAGUAAGAGAACAAGAUUUUGUGGCAUCUGCAGGCAGCAAGGCCACAAGCGAACAACUUGCCCUGAACGCGGGGAUGUACCGAAACAACACCAUGGGGAUGCACCUCUCAAACUGAAGUGAGAGGUGCCUCAUGGGAGCUUUCUCGGGGUGGUUCUUCAGUGAUAGAAAUUGAAGAAUACUCAAAGGGGUGCAAUGGUUUGAUCCAGCUAGUUCUGAAACAUCAGUUAACCAGGCAGAUGAGCGUGCGCAUGUGAGGAGUGGGGAUUCAGGGAUUUCCUCUCUGUCCCUGCAGGUUACCGGCGCUGGCGAUCUUAGUGAUGCAGAGGAGGUAGAGGAGCUGGCCGUCCCACAUGGGGAGCAAGGUGGAGGUAGUGCAGAUGAGGGAUACGGCGAGCAUGACCCUGCUGCUUGUGACUCUGAAGGCGAGUGUGCAAAUUCAGAGAGUCUGUACUUAAAAGAAGAUGACACUGUAGAGGAGAGCAACCGCAACAACGCCAAGCGUGCUAGAAUUAACUAGGAGUUGGCAAAGUGUAAUGCAUGGUGUGUUCAUUCAGCGUAGGUAAUGACGCCUUUGCCUAGCUGAUGACGUGCGCAGUGAAUAAUUAGUGUGCGUGUGUGUAGAAUCUGUGCAUCUUUGUCCGGUGAUUGUUCAGUCCAGUGAGAAACAAUGUAAGACCUCUGUUUCUGCUUGAUUAAAAUAAUGACGAUUUGCCAUUUCGUUGA